Molecule: long non-coding RNA, 782 nt
Organism: Stegastes partitus (bicolor damselfish)
Lineage: Eukaryota; Metazoa; Chordata; Actinopteri; Pomacentridae
Exons: 4
Source: RefSeq, a predicted model, not a curated record
AGACAGAAGCUCUCCAUAACAUGUCUUCCUCUAUUGCUAGUGCACUGGUGCUCAGAGGACAUAAAGUUAGAAAAAAAACAUACUGCUAGUGUUUUUAUUACGCUGCAUGAAACCCUUCACAAACAAUUUCUUCUGUUUGAUCCUGCAAUCUGCUUGUUGUCACAUUAUUGUACAGGACGUGAUCUGAAGAGGAAUGCAGCUAAAACAGAAGCAAAGAGUGAUGCAGUGAAUGAAUGCGAUGACGCUGAACCCUCAGAGAAGAGCAACAACAGCGCUAUAACCAACAGGGCAGGAACCUCAAAUGAGGACUUCACGAGGAACAAAGAAAAGCAAGAGAAGGCUUCUGAAGAAAUCAACAGAAAGAAACAAUGCCAAAGGGAGACUGAAGCACUAUUCGGCAGACUUCACCUUCAAGAACGACGACAGCAGAAGUUGUCAUCGGCAGACGUUCUUCAGUUAGUUCCAUCCGUGAACCAGCACCAUGAUGUGUCUGAGAAAGAUCUUCCUCAUGCUUUUCUUCAAAGGCUGAUGAUGUUAGAUUACAGGGCCAGAUAUAUUCCUGUAAGACCAGACAGUCCUGAGGUGGUCCAUCCAAAGCUUGAGCCAGUGCUUAAAACCACCGAGACGGAGGACAGUUAUUUAGAGGCUUUUUUGAGCACCAACACAGACACACAUCAGACAAGAACAAGUCAUGUGCAUCCGAUGGAUGUUCAGAUGGCAGUAUUUCACUGCUCAGACAACUUCCUCAAGCAGAUCAUAAUUAAAAAACUGUCACAGUGUCA